GCUCCAAUAGCGUAUACUAAUGUUGUUGCAGUUAAAAAGCUCGUAGUCGGAUUUCAGUAGGCUCAGUUAAGUCUCUUCUAUUGAGUUCUUUAUGGGCCUGCUUCUUUGACAGAAACUUCUAUGUUAUUCAUUUAGCGUGGGUAGCGACUGUCUCUUUUACUUUGAGAAAAUUAGAGUGUUCAAAGCAGGUAUUCGCCUGA
Molecule: ribosomal RNA, 200 nt
Filed under: uncultured eukaryote
Lineage: Eukaryota
Description: partial 18S ribosomal RNA
Rfam family: Eukaryotic small subunit ribosomal RNA
Source: RNAcentral